This 77-nucleotide transfer RNA is filed under the name Edaphosphingomonas fennica. Its description in RNAcentral is "Sphingomonas fennica tRNA-Asp". It matches the Rfam family "tRNA". From Rfam's summary of the family: Transfer RNA (tRNA) molecules are approximately 80 nucleotides in length. Their secondary structure includes four short double-helical elements and three loops (D, anti-codon, and T loops). Further hydrogen bonds mediate the characteristic L-shaped molecular structure. tRNAs have two regions of fundamental functional importance: the anti-codon, which is responsible for specific mRNA codon recognition, and the 3' end, to which the tRNAs corresponding amino acid is attached (by aminoacyl-tRNA synthetases). tRNAs cope with the degeneracy of the genetic code in two manners: having more than one tRNA (with a specific anti-codon) for a particular amino acid; and 'wobble' base-pairing, i.e. permitting non-standard base-pairing at the 3rd anti-codon position. The record is from RNAcentral. Lineage: Bacteria; Pseudomonadati; Pseudomonadota; Alphaproteobacteria; Sphingomonadales; Rhizorhabdaceae.
GCGAGUGUAGCUCAGUUGGUUAGAGCGCCGGCCUGUCACGCCGGAGGUCGCGGGUUCGAGCCCCGUCACUCGCGCCA